RNAcentral lists this ribosomal RNA (131 nucleotides) under uncultured bacterium. RNAcentral describes it as "partial 16S ribosomal RNA". It matches the Rfam family "Bacterial small subunit ribosomal RNA", at positions 338 to 464 of the family's 1533-position model. The record is from RNAcentral.
CCUACGGGAGGCAGCAGUAGGGAAUCUUCGGCAAUGGACGGAAGUCUGACCGAGCAACGCCGCGUGAGUGAAGAAGGUUUUCGGAUCGUAAAGCUACUGUUGUAAGAGAAGAACGAGUGUGAGAGUGGAAA